This 384-nucleotide long non-coding RNA is filed under the name Setaria italica (foxtail millet). RNAcentral's name for it is "long non-coding RNA (SITA_LNC006930)". Lineage: Eukaryota; Viridiplantae; Streptophyta; Magnoliopsida; Poales; Poaceae. The record is from RNAcentral.
UACAACGCCGAGGCCGCGCUCGGCGACGCGGUGGCCAAGGCCGUGCGGGCGGGCACGAUCGCCUCCCGGGACGAGGUCUACGUCACCUCCAAGCUCUGGAUCGCCGACGCGCACCCCGGCCGCGUCUUGCCGGCGCUCGAGAAGACACUACAGUGAGUAGAGUACAAAUCAUGGCCCAUUCCCCGAGAAAGCGUCAUUGACCAUCUUUUUUCUUGUCAGGAAUCUGCGGAUGGAGUACGUGGACCUGUACCUGAUUCACUUCCCGGUGAGCCAGCGGCCGUCGGAGGUUGAAGGAGGCCCGGUGCUGGUGAAGAAGGACCUGGUGGCGAUGGACAUGAAGGGGGUGUGGGAGGAGAUGGAGGAGUGCCACCGGCUAGGGCUGGC